GACGAACGCUGGCGGCGUGCUUAACACAUGCAAGUCAAGGGGGGCCCGCAAGGGUAACCGGCGAACGGGUGCGUAACACGUGAGCAAUCUGCCUAGAUGUGGGGGAUAGCCGGCCCAACGGCCGGGUAAUACCGCAUACGCUCACCGGGUGGCAUCACCUGGUGAGGAAACAUUUUUUGGCAUCUAGAGGAGCUCGCGGCCUAUCAGCUAGUUGGUGGGGUAAUGGCCUACCAAGGCAUUGACGGGUAGCUGGUCUGAGAGGAUGGCCAGCCACAUUGGGACUGAGAUACGGCCCAGACUCCUACGGGUGGCUG
Molecule: ribosomal RNA, 314 nt
Filed under: uncultured Gemmatimonadota bacterium
Lineage: Bacteria; Pseudomonadati; Gemmatimonadota
Description: bacterial SSU rRNA
Rfam family: Bacterial small subunit ribosomal RNA
Source: RNAcentral